GAUGAAUGCUGGCGGCGCGCCUAACACAUGCAAGUCGAGCGGUAACAUGGACUUCGGUCUGAUGACGAGCGGCGGACGGCUGAGUAACGCGUGGGAACAUGCCCCAAAGUGAGGAAUAACUGCCCGAAAGGGUAGCUAAUGCCGCAUAUGAUCUUAGGAUUAAAGGAUUUAUCCGCUUUGGGAGUGGCCUGCGUACGAUUAGGUAGUUGGUGAGGUAAUGGCUCACCAAGCCGACGAUCGUUAGCUGGUCUGAGAGGAUGACCAGCCAGACUGGAACUGAGACACGGUCCAGACUCCUACGGGAGGCAGCAGUGAGGAAUAUUUCACAAUGGGCGAAAGCCUGAUGGAGCAACGCCGCGUGCAGGAUGAAGGCCUUCGGGUCGUAAACUGCUUUUAUAAGUGAAGAAUAUGACGGUAACUUAUGAAUAAGCACCGGCUAACUACGUG
This 447-nucleotide ribosomal RNA is filed under the name uncultured bacterium. RNAcentral describes it as "bacterial SSU rRNA". It matches the Rfam family "Bacterial small subunit ribosomal RNA", at positions 28 to 507 of the family's 1533-position model. The record is from RNAcentral.